Molecule: ribosomal RNA, 514 nt
Filed under: Phlyctema vagabunda
Lineage: Eukaryota; Fungi; Ascomycota; Leotiomycetes; Helotiales; Dermateaceae
Also listed under: 1 other name
Description: eukaryotic LSU rRNA
Rfam family: 5.8S ribosomal RNA (bases 163-316)
Source: RNAcentral
AUUACAGAGUUCAUGCCCUUCGGGGUAGAUCUCCCACCCGUGUCAUCACACCUUUGUUGCUUUGGCGGGCCCGCCUCGGCCACCGGCUCCGGCUGGUGAGCGCCCGCCAGAGGACCCCAAACUCUGAAAUUUAGUGUCGUCUGAGUACUAUAUAAUAGUUAAAACUUUCAACAACGGAUCUCUUGGUUCUGGCAUCGAUGAAGAACGCAGCGAAAUGCGAUAAGUAAUGUGAAUUGCAGAAUUCAGUGAAUCAUCGAAUCUUUGAACGCACAUUGCGCCCCUUGGUAUUCCGGGGGGCAUGCCUGUUCGAGCGUCAUUACAACCCUCAAGCUCUGCUUGGUAUUGGGCGUCCCCGGCGACGGGGUGCCCUAAAAUCAGUGGCGGUGCCGUCUGGCUCUAAGCGUAGUAAAUCUCUCGCUCUGGAUGCCCGGUGGAUGCUCGCCAGAACCCCCCAUUUUUUACAGGUUGACCUCGGAUCAGGUAGGGAUACCCGCUGAACUUAAGCAUAUCAAUA